Molecule: ribosomal RNA, 497 nt
Filed under: uncultured bacterium
Lineage: Bacteria
Description: partial 16S ribosomal RNA
Rfam family: Bacterial small subunit ribosomal RNA
Source: RNAcentral
GAUGAACGCUGGCGGCGUGCCUAAUACAUGCAAGUCGAGCGAACAGACGAGGAGCUUGCUCCUCGGACGUUAGCGGCGGACGGGUGAGUAACACGUGGAUAACCUACCUAUAAGACUGGGAUAACUUCGAGCAACCGGAGCUAAUACCGGAUAAUAUAUUGAACAACAUGGUUCAAUAGUUAAAUACGGUUUUGCUGUCACUUAUAGCUGGAUCCGCGCCGCAUUAGCUAGUUGGUAAGAUAACGGCUUACCAAGCCGACGAUGCGGAGCCGAGCUGAGAGGGUGAUCAGCCACGCUGGAACUGAGAAAUGGACUCGUCGUCCAUGGGAGGUCGAAGUAGGGAAUCCUCCGCAACGGGCGAAAGGCGGACGGAGCAACGUCGCCUCAGUGAUGAGGGUCUUCGGAUCGUAAAACUCUGCUAUUAGGGAAGAACAAAUGUGUAAGUAACUAUGCACGUCUUGACGGUACCUAAUCAGAAAGCCACGGCUAACUACGUG